This 593-nucleotide small RNA is filed under the name Pongo abelii (Sumatran orangutan). Its description in RNAcentral is "retained intron". Lineage: Eukaryota; Metazoa; Chordata; Mammalia; Primates; Hominidae. The record is from RNAcentral.
UUUUAUAAAUUUCAUAUUAAAAUUUUAUUAAGUUCUUUGUUAUCUAAGGAGAAUUGUUACCUUUAUCCUCACAUGUUGUUCUUAUUUGUAGAAUCAAGAUUAGAAGGAUGGCUUUCAUUGCCUGUACGAAACAACACUAAGAAAUUUGGAUGGGUUAAAAAGUAUGUGAUUGUAAGCAGUAAGAAGAUUCUUUUCUAUGACAGUGAACAAGAUAAAGAACAAUCCAAUCCUUACAUGGUUUUAGAUAUAGAGUAAGUGUUUUUAUUAGAAUAUUUAGAAACUAUAUCUUUUAAAGUAUGAGACUAACAAUGCAAUUUAUUAGUCAUAGUAUAGCUCCUACUGUACUAUUGUUACAUUUUCCUGUGAUUUGCUUCAUACAGAUGAAAGUCUGGGAUACAGGGUUAGCUAAAACAUCUUUAUUUCAUGGGCCUUUGAUACAUUAUUUUUUGAAACUAAUUAGAAAAUUUCUGACAUAGAGGUUUCUAAAAAUCUUAAUUAAUUAUAGAAUUAAUAGAACAAAAUAUUCUGAGUUCCUAACAUGGGUCAAAGUAGUCAGUGUUUAACUUCUGACAUAAGUAUAGAAGAAUUAAUAU